RNAcentral lists this transfer RNA (64 nucleotides) under Cavia porcellus (domestic guinea pig). It matches the Rfam family "tRNA". Rfam says of the family: Transfer RNA (tRNA) molecules are approximately 80 nucleotides in length. Their secondary structure includes four short double-helical elements and three loops (D, anti-codon, and T loops). Lineage: Eukaryota; Metazoa; Chordata; Mammalia; Rodentia; Caviidae. The record is from Rfam by way of RNAcentral.
GGGGAUUUAGCUCAAUGGUAUAAGCACCUGCCUGGCAAGCAUGGAGUCGUGAGUUCAAUCCCUG